Molecule: transfer RNA, 77 nt
Filed under: Acidobacteriota bacterium
Lineage: Bacteria; Pseudomonadati; Acidobacteriota
Also listed under: 8 other names
Description: tRNA-Arg
Rfam family: tRNA
About the family: Transfer RNA (tRNA) molecules are approximately 80 nucleotides in length.
Source: RNAcentral
GCGCCCGUAGCUCAGCUGGAUAGAGCGUCUGGCUACGAACCAGAAGGUCGGGAGUUCGAAUCUCUCCGGGCGCGCCA